CAGACGUUCACGUCACAGCGCUGUUUCCCCGGCGCGGCAGUGUGACAAACCGCUGCAACCUAAUAACAACUGAUUCAUUCACUUUUGUUUUUUCUCUGUCGCUGUGUUCGUUCGGAGGUUAGAAAGGGACAGUGCCGAUAAAAUACAAAAAUAACAGUAAACAACGGUGCGUGAGGAUGGGUUUGUGUCUUUCGUUCGAGUGUGGCGACUGUGAAGUCUGCUGUAACCCGUGUUGUCUGGCGCUGAGUGCGUGCUGCCUGGUGCCCUGCCUGUGUCCUAACGCCUGCGGGCAGCAGCAACCCCCGCCGCAGCACGUGACCGUGGUGCAGCAACCCCCGCCGGUCAUAUACGAGCAGCAGCCCCCGCCGCCCGGCUACCCGUACCCGCCACCCGGGGGAUACCCGCCCCCUGGCGGUCAUCCCGGCUACCCUCCACCACAGGGAUACCCAGGAUACCCCCCUGAUCCUUCACAAAUGUACCGAUGAAAAGCUUAGUUAAGGAUGGGUUGCAACAUUUCAUGUCGUCCGUGCUGCUGCUGCUGCAUCCCUUGCUGUUGCUGCGACUGUUGCAGCGAUGAUAACAAACGCACCGUGAUUGUACAAAAUCGCGUUGUCGUCCAACAACCACCGGCGGGCUCGGCGCCCGGACCCCGAGUCGAACCACCACCUCCUUAUAAAUACUAACACACCGCUAACAAAUAUUAUUUUUUAACUUUUUUAUUUUGGAACAAUGAACAGUCACAAGAAUUUACUAUGUAAAUAUGUAGUCUGUGAAAAAUUUACAUUAUCCACAUGGCCAGUCACAAAUGUCAUUACAAGAUUUAAAGUUAUAGAGCCGUAACAAAUAAGCACCCAUAGCCGGGUAAAUAAUAGUGUAUUGUUCUUUUGUUUUAAUCAGCGUUAAUAAUUAUAAAAUUAGGAAUAUAUUGUGCUAACUGACAGUUGUGUUUUCAAUGCACGCUUUUUCUAAUUUCGUUACGAAAGUAAAACAUUGUACUGUUUCACUGUUAGUUCAAACUUAUGCCUGAUUUUAGAUGUUACGUUAUGCUCUCGAAAAAACAUUAAUUAUUUGGUGCAAUAUUAUUUUGUUAUUGUCUUUUUUUCUGAAUGUUAUCGAAAGUAAUAUACCUAUGAAUUGAAACGAAUUUAUUUCGCUCUAAGUAUAGGUAGUCGGAAACAGGGUCCAAGUUAUCGGUGGUGUGGGCCUCAGAAAGGAACUUCUUUAAAUAGGAAAACUUUUACAAUAUUUGUAUAAAUAGUAGUACUUAUUUUUUAAACAUAAUUUCCUCUCUGAAGCCCUUUAGCAUAAACUUUUUUCAUCAUGGAAUGCAGCAGCAACCUUUAGUAAAUGUUAACCUAUUAUUAUUUUGUUAUUAAUUAAUUAAGCACAUAUUAAAUAUGUAUUAAGUAAAUAGAAAAUAAAUAGAUCUCCUAUGUAUUUAAUACUGCAAUUGAAAAUUUUUCCUAACUAUAGCAACAUUGUAGGAAUUGCCAAAGAUGAUAAUUUCUUGUCUUGGAAAAACCCCUCCUUCGUCUUGGGGAAAUAUUUCAGAGAUGGGAGACUUUCAUGCGUCCUUCUAUUUAUUUUUCUUAUUAUCUUCUCCUUCAUGAAGGUGUAGACUUUACCUAAUAAUUUUUGUCAGUAAAAUAAUCUUUCGAUUGUAGUAUUCAAUUGAAGGACACGUGAGCACGUUUUUUCUUCGUUUUCCUUAAGUUUUAGUGCGAGAUAGGAGAUAUCAGUAAUUGUGAUAAUGUUGGUAUUCCGAAUACCUAUCUAUACACCUCAGUUGUAAAUAAAUAUACGUUAUAACUUUUCACGUACGCCAUUUUCAUGAUGGCAUUAAUUAUUUUUUUUACUAUGUCUAAAAUAUUUAUCAAAGAAUAGAUAGUAAAUCAUUAUGUUAUAACUUAAUAAUUCCUGUUAUAGUGUCAAUACAAUAAGAAGUCAGUACAAUAAGAAGGAUAGCUUGUACGUAAUAAUAUAUUUCAAAUACUUGAGUAAUGAGCUCACACAUUAUCGCAUUAUGAUCAAUGCAUAAACAAUAUUUCUAAGCAUAAACAAAUAAAAGAGUGAUACCAACAGGGCAUAAGAUAUUUAUGUAUGUAAACUAUAUUUUUUAAGUAAAAAAUACAAUCCA
This 2137-nucleotide long non-coding RNA is filed under the name Helicoverpa zea (corn earworm). RNAcentral's name for it is "uncharacterized LOC124634382". Lineage: Eukaryota; Metazoa; Arthropoda; Insecta; Lepidoptera; Noctuidae. The record is from RNAcentral.